RNAcentral lists this ribosomal RNA (429 nucleotides) under Pseudomonadota bacterium. RNAcentral's name for it is "Proteobacteria bacterium partial 16S ribosomal RNA". It matches the Rfam family "Bacterial small subunit ribosomal RNA", at positions 355 to 776 of the family's 1533-position model. Lineage: Bacteria; Pseudomonadati; Pseudomonadota. The record is from RNAcentral.
UGGGGAAUAUUGGACAAUGGGCGAAAGCCUGAUCCAGCCAUGCCGCGUGUGUGAAGAAGGUCUUCGGAUUGUAAAGCACUUUAAGUUGGGAGGAAGGGCAGUAAGCGAAUACCUUGCUGUUUUCACGUUACCGACAGAAUAAGCACCGGCUAACUCUGUGCCAGCAGCCGCGGUAAUACAGAGGGUGCAAGCGUUAAUCGGAAUUACUGGGCGUAAAGCGCGCGUAGGUGGUUCGUUAAGUUGAAUGUGAAAGCCCCGGGCUCAACCUGGGAACUGCGUGCAAAACUGGCGAGCUGGAGUAGGGCAGAGGGUGGUGGAAUUUCCUGUGUAGCGGUGAAAUGCGUAGAUAUAGGAAGGAACACCAGUGGCGAAGGCGACCACCUGGGCUCAUACUGACACUGAGGUGCGAAAGCGUGGGGAGCAAACAGG